This 3553-nucleotide ribosomal RNA is filed under the name Eggerelloides scaber. Its description in RNAcentral is "18S ribosomal RNA". The stretch from base 1298 to 3553 matches the Rfam family "Eukaryotic small subunit ribosomal RNA". The record is from RNAcentral. Lineage: Eukaryota; Foraminifera; Textulariida; Eggerellidae.
CUCAAAGAUUAAGCCAUGCAAGUGGUUAUAAUUAACCCGACAGUUUAAAUAAGUGUUAAAAUGCUAUACUAAUUUUAAACAAUUAAUACAUAUAUUAUAGUGAUUUCACAUAUAUCACUUACGCAACUGCAGACAGCUGCUUAAUACAGUCACACUUGUCUUGACUUGGCGCAAUAAAUAAAUAAAAAAAAUAUGUAUAUUACGCACAAAUUUUAUACACACACACAUUAUAUAUUUUUGUGCAUACAUUUUUUUUUAUAUAUUUUAAUUAAUUGAUUUCUCUGUAACAAUAAAGAUUUUAAUUAUUUUACGUUACACCGUGAAAAUAUCUCUUUUUGGAUAACUCAGGGAAAGUUUGGCUAAUACGUACGAGCAAAUAUAAAUUUUACGCACACACACACACUUAUGCGUAAAAUUCAAAAUAUACACACGUGUAUAUAUAUAAUACGCUCACCCUAAAAAUUUUAAUUCUAUAUAUACAUACACACACACACACGAAAAUGCAUUUUGUGGCAUUUUGUCAUACAGUACACGGUUCUUAAUAGGUGCGGCCAUCGCAAAGACCGUACUUUAUAGUGCGCAGCAGGAAGUAAUACUACCGAACGGACAGAGGGGUACUAAUGACAAUAUUUAGCCACGUAUACACACACACACACACACACGGCAUUUUUAAUUGUUGUAUAUAUAGUAUAAAUUUUAAAAUGCAGCGUAAUAUUAUUAUUACACACACACACACACACACACACGUGUAUAUUUUAACCUAAUAUUACUACUCAGCACAUAUUGGUAAAUUUUUGGCUCAUUCGUGAGUCAGUUUUAAAAUUUUACACGCAACAUGAGAGACAAUAUGUACGCACAAAAAUGAUAUAUUUAUUUAUACAUUUUUAUAAUACGCUGAGCAGACUUUGCGAAGUUUACUUUGCGAAGCAGGUCAUACAAGCAUCUACAGCAUCAAGUCACAGGGUUGGCAAGUGUAUUUUUGAACCUUCAAAGCAGUCACGCAUACGGAAGAGUAGUUUCUGAUCCCAUAGAAGGAGCACCGUACAAUGAGAGACCGCUCUUAGUUCUAAGGAACGCAGCAGGCGCGUAAAUUGCCCAAUGCUAGUACCCUAUAUAUACUAUGUAUUUACACAAUUUACACUAAAAAAAAUAUUAAUUUAAUUUUAGCGCAUUACACACUUUUUUAUAAAUUGUCUAAAAUUUAUCCUUGUUUUACUGUGUAUUAACUCAUAUUUAUUUACUUGUGAGGCAGUGACAAGCUGUAACGGUUGAGUAUAAAAAUGACGAGUGUCUGGCAUAGCCGUCUAAUCUUCGGUUAGGCUUGGCUGUUCGCCGACGCUUUGUGUGCUCAAUUGGAAUGCGGUGAGUUUAAGCAACUCAGAACCUUUUGUUAUGGUGUAAUUUAUUUUGCACUUAUACAUGUAUCUGAAUUUCAAGUGGAGGGCAAGUCUGGUGCCAGCAGCCGCGGUAAUACCAGCUCCACUGGCCUAUACAAUCAUUGUUGCGGUUAAGAGGCUCGUAGUUGGAUUGAACUUAUGCUAUAUGUUUAUAGCGAAGUUUACGCGUAAUAUAUUUUUAUUAUGCGUUCGACGUCUGUUAAAUUUUUUAUAUGCGCGCAUAUUAAUUACACACACACAACCCACUAUGCGUGUCGUAUAAACAUAUUUACUGCGUAAAAAAAUUUACAUUUAUUUUCAACACUGUGAACAAAUCAGCGUGUAUCAAACAUGUCUUUUUUUGAAUGUGCAAUGAAUGUCUUAUCAUGGAAUGUUGCACUUUCGCUUUUAAAAAAAAAUUCAUGCUUUUUAUUACACACACACAUAUUUUAACGCGCGAGUAAAUUUUUUUUUUUUUAACAGCUUAAAAAUGUCGAUGGGGAUAGUUGGAGUCAAGAGUACUGUUGGGCGAGAGGUGAAAUUCAUUGACCCUAGCAAGACUACCAAAAGCGAAAGCACUUGGCUAGGCUAUACUCUUUGUGAUUAUAUUAAUAUAUAUAUUUGUAUGCGUAACACACACACACACAUACGCGCGCGUAAAAUAUAUAUAUAUAUACACCUUACAAUGAAGAACGAAGGUUGGGGGAUCAAAGAGGAUCAGAUACCCUCGUCGUCCCAUUAAUUACAUCAAACGAUGGGCUCUCAAUUGCAUUUUAUUAUUUUAUUAUUAAAAUUGCUAAAAUGCCCUCAGCCUACAAAAACAAAAUCUGUGCUUGAGCUUGUAAAUAAUUUUACUAUUAUUUUACGCUCGCCUAACUAAAAUAUUUUCGUACGGUCUCGAUGGACGUUUCAUUUUUUUUAAACUUUUUUUUUGCGUGUAAGCAAUAUUUUUUUAAUGUAAAUUAAUUUUUACAUAUAAAAUUUGCGUGCACUUGAUUUUCGGAGCUUUGCGCUCAAUAUUUUCUGGUGAGAUGUAAGCACUAUUGUUAUUACAGCCGCGUAAUUUAUUUUACUGCGUGCAGUUAAGACAUAUUUUUGGUGUGAAGCACGCUUUAGGCACGCGCUUACUGCAGAAAUGUCUGAGACAUUCCCUUCCGGGGGUAGUAUGCACGCAAGUGUGAAACUUGAAGGAAUUGACGGAAGGGCACCACAAGAACGCGUGGAGCAUGUGGCUUAAUUUGACUCAACGCGGGAAAUCUUACCGGGUCCGGACACACUGAGGAUUGACAGGCAAAUAUAUAUAUAUUAAAUAUGCUAGUCCUUUCAUGAUUAUGUGAUAGGUGGUGCAUGGCCGUUCUUAGUUCGUGGAGUGAUCUGUCAGCUUAAUUGCGUUUCACUAAGGGCUUUUAUAAAUUUAAUGCGCAGUGUGUUGUUGUAUUUUUAUACUCACACACACACGCGCAUGUAAUUAAGUCCUGAAAGCAACGAACGUGACCGCAACCUCUUGUUGCCUUUAUAUAUAUUUUUAUGCGCUCGCGCGUAAAAUAAAAAAAAGGCUUUUUUAUAAACUAGAGGGACCGCUGUAACUUUUUUAAACCAGAGGAAGGUUGCGGCAAUAACAGGUCUGUGAUGCCCUUAGAUGUUCCGGGCUGCACACGUGCUACAAUGAUCAUUGCAGUAAGCAUCUCAUUUUAAUUUUACACCGCAUUUGCGCGCGCGUUGUAUAUAUUUUUUUAUAUACAUUUGCUGUGCUGCAAAAGCGGUAAAAAGCCUGCUUCGAAAGUAAGUGGGUAAUCAAUUAGAAGUAAUGAUUUCCCUAAAUUUUUUUUAAUAGCACACAUAUAUACGGCAUCUUUACCCGUUAGUUUUUUUUUUUAAAAUACUAUUUUGUGCGUAUCGAUCGAAUCCCGUAUGUGCAAUUUGUCAAUUCAUGGUGGGGAUAGACCAUUGUUUUUAAUUGUUGGUCUCGGUCUUAACUAGGAAUGCCUUGUACGGGUCUUUGGUUCAACAAACCACCCGGAAUACGUCCCUGCCCUUUGUACACACCGCCCGUCGCUCUUACCGAUGGACUUCUCUGUGAGCUUGAGGGACUGACUGCGUAUCGCGAAUGGAAACUUAAACGAACAGUGUGGUCUAAAGGAAAGAGAAGUCGUAACAAGGCAUCGGUAGGUGAACCU